UUAGCUCUCCACGAGGCCAAAGUCAUUAAAAAUUCAAAAGUCAUAAAAGGAAGUUACAAAAGCAAAUCCUCUUUUGCAAGCCAGAACUCACUGCUCAGGAUGAGUUUUGAUCCACGUGAGAAGGAAUAGG
Neotoma lepida (desert woodrat) is the source of this 130-nucleotide small nucleolar RNA. It matches the Rfam family "Small nucleolar RNA SNORA40". Rfam says of the family: The snoRNA ACA 40 belongs to the H/ACA family of snoRNAs and guides the pseudouridylation of 28S rRNA subunit at position U4565. NB This family has a high threshold value to exclude a large number of closely related sequences that do not appear to have conserved H and ACA boxes, and may be pseudogenes. The record is from Rfam. NCBI's taxonomy places the organism in Eukaryota, Metazoa, Chordata, Mammalia, Rodentia, Cricetidae.